GAUGAACGCUGGCGGCGUGCCUAAUACAUGCAAGUCGAGCGAACGGAUGAGAAGCUUGCUUCUCUGAUGUUAGCGGCGGACGGGUGAGUAACACGUGGAUAACCUACCUAUAAGACUGGGAUAACUUCGGGAAACCGGAGCUAAUACCGGAUAAUAUUUUGAACCGCAUGGUUCAAAAGUGAAAGACGGUCUUGCUGUCACUUAUAGAUGGAUCCGCGCUGCAUUAGCUAGUUGGUAAGGUAACGGCUUACCAAGGCAACGAUGCAUAGCCGACCUGAGAGGGUGAUCGGCCACACUGGAACUGAGACACGGUCCAGACUCCUACGGGAGGCAGCAGUAGGGAAUCUUCCGCAAUGGGCGAAAGCCUGACGGAGCAACGCCGCGUGAGUGAUGAAGGUCUUCGGAUCGUAAAACUCUGUUAUUAGGGAAGAACAUAUGUGUAAGUAACUGUGCACAUCCUGACGGUACCUAAUCAGAAAGCCACGGCUAACUACGUG
This 497-nucleotide ribosomal RNA is filed under the name uncultured bacterium. RNAcentral describes it as "partial 16S ribosomal RNA". It matches the Rfam family "Bacterial small subunit ribosomal RNA", at positions 28 to 507 of the family's 1533-position model. The record is from RNAcentral.